This 251-nucleotide ribosomal RNA is filed under the name uncultured prokaryote. RNAcentral's name for it is "partial 16S ribosomal RNA". It matches the Rfam family "Bacterial small subunit ribosomal RNA", at positions 525 to 775 of the family's 1533-position model. The record is from RNAcentral.
ACGUAGGUGGCGAGCGUUAUCCGGAAUUACUGGGCGUAAAGCGCACGCAGGCGGUCUUUUGGGUCUGACGUGAAAGCUCCUGGCUUAACUGGGAGAGGUCGUUGGAAACUGGGAGACUUGAGGCAAUGAGAGGGGUGUGGAAUUCCCGGUGUAGUGGUGGAAUGCGUAGAUAUCGGGAGGAACACCGGUGGCGAAAGCGGAUCUCUGGCGCGUUACUGACGCUGAGGCUCGAAAGCGUGGGGAGCAAACGG